This 468-nucleotide ribosomal RNA is filed under the name uncultured bacterium. RNAcentral describes it as "partial 16S ribosomal RNA". It matches the Rfam family "Bacterial small subunit ribosomal RNA", at positions 28 to 507 of the family's 1533-position model. The record is from RNAcentral.
GACGAACGCUGGCGGCGUGCUUAACACAUGCAAGUCGAACGGAAAGGCCCUGCUUUUGUGGGGUGCUCGAGUGGCGAACGGGUGAGUAACACGUGAGUAACCUGCCCUUGACUUUGGGAUAACUUCAGGAAACUGGGGCUAAUACCGGAUAGGAGCUCCUGCUGCAUGGUGGGGGUUGGAAAGUUUCGGCGGUUGGGGAUGGACUCGCGGCUUAUCAGCUUGUUGGUGGGGUAGUGGCUUACCAAGGCUUUGACGGGUAGCCGGCCUGAGAGGGUGACCGGCUACAUUACGACGGAGAUACGGCCCAGACUCCUCUGGUAGGCAGCGGUGGGGAAUAGUGCACAAUGGGCGGAAGCCUGAUGCAGUAACGCCGCGUGCGGGAUGACGGCCUUGGGGUUGUAAACCGCUGUCGCCUGUGACGAAGCGUGAGUGACGGUAAUGGGUAAAGAAGCACCGGCUAACUACGUG